RNAcentral lists this transfer RNA (73 nucleotides) under Zootermopsis nevadensis. It matches the Rfam family "tRNA". Rfam says of the family: Transfer RNA (tRNA) molecules are approximately 80 nucleotides in length. Their secondary structure includes four short double-helical elements and three loops (D, anti-codon, and T loops). Further hydrogen bonds mediate the characteristic L-shaped molecular structure. tRNAs have two regions of fundamental functional importance: the anti-codon, which is responsible for specific mRNA codon recognition, and the 3' end, to which the tRNAs corresponding amino acid is attached (by aminoacyl-tRNA synthetases). tRNAs cope with the degeneracy of the genetic code in two manners: having more than one tRNA (with a specific anti-codon) for a particular amino acid; and 'wobble' base-pairing, i.e. permitting non-standard base-pairing at the 3rd anti-codon position. Lineage: Eukaryota; Metazoa; Arthropoda; Insecta; Blattodea; Termopsidae. The record is from Rfam by way of RNAcentral.
GCCACGGUGGUCUAGCGGUUAGAACGCUGGGCUUGUAAUCCUGGGGUCUCGGGUUCGAUUCUCGGCGGUGCCC